GGAGAGAUAGCUCAGUGGUUAAGAGCACUGGCUGCUCUUCCAGAGGUCCUGAGUUCAAUUCCUAGUACAUCUG
RNAcentral lists this transfer RNA (73 nucleotides) under Cricetulus griseus (Chinese hamster). It matches the Rfam family "tRNA". Rfam says of the family: Transfer RNA (tRNA) molecules are approximately 80 nucleotides in length. Their secondary structure includes four short double-helical elements and three loops (D, anti-codon, and T loops). Further hydrogen bonds mediate the characteristic L-shaped molecular structure. tRNAs have two regions of fundamental functional importance: the anti-codon, which is responsible for specific mRNA codon recognition, and the 3' end, to which the tRNAs corresponding amino acid is attached (by aminoacyl-tRNA synthetases). tRNAs cope with the degeneracy of the genetic code in two manners: having more than one tRNA (with a specific anti-codon) for a particular amino acid; and 'wobble' base-pairing, i.e. permitting non-standard base-pairing at the 3rd anti-codon position. Lineage: Eukaryota; Metazoa; Chordata; Mammalia; Rodentia; Cricetidae. The record is from Rfam by way of RNAcentral.